AGAACGAACGCUGGCGGCAGGCUUAACACAUGCAAGUCGAACGCCCCGCAAGGGGAGUGGCAGACGGGUGAGUAACACGUGGGAACAUACCCUUUGGUUCGGAAUAACUCAGGGAAACUUGAGCUAAUACCGGAUAAGCGCGAGAGCGGAAAGAUUUAUCGCCGAAGGAUUGGCCCGCGUCCGAUUAGCUAGUUGGUGAGGUAAUGGCUCACCAAGGCGACGAUCGGGUAGCUGGUCUGAGAGGAUGAUCAGCCACACUGGGACUGAGACACGGCCCAGACUCCUACGGGAGGCAGCAGUGGGGAAUAGUUGGACAAUGGGCGCAAGCCUGAUCCAGCCAUGCCGCGUGAGUGAUGAAGGCCCUAGGGUUGUAAAGCUCUUUCGCCUAGGGACGAUAAGUGACGGUACCUGGAAUAAGAACGCCCCGGAUAACGUUCGUGCCAGCAGCCGC
Molecule: ribosomal RNA, 451 nt
Filed under: uncultured soil bacterium
Lineage: Bacteria
Description: bacterial SSU rRNA
Rfam family: Bacterial small subunit ribosomal RNA
Source: RNAcentral